AAAGUUCAUCGCGAUAAUCGCGGGAAAAGUUCAACUUUCACGAGGAAAGUCCGGACUCCAUAGAGCGCCGUAGCAGUUAACGACUGUCUGCCGUAAGGUACGGAUUAGAGCAACAGAGACGAGCCGACGUUAGGGUCGGGUGAAACGGGCAAUCUCUACGGGGAGCAACAUCAAAUAGGCAACUGCUGAUCCUGCUCGGUGAGGUUGCGGGUAGAUGGCUAGAGACGGAGCGUGAGCUCCGUAGUAGAUGAAUGAUUAUCGGCCUACUUCUAUGAGGUAGGAACAGAAUCCGGCUUAUAGAUGGACUUUGUCU
RNAcentral lists this RNase P RNA (313 nucleotides) under Burkholderiaceae bacterium. Its description in RNAcentral is "RNase P RNA component class A". It matches the Rfam family "Bacterial RNase P class A". Rfam says of the family: Ribonuclease P (RNase P) is a ubiquitous endoribonuclease, found in archaea, bacteria and eukarya as well as chloroplasts and mitochondria. Its best characterised activity is the generation of mature 5'-ends of tRNAs by cleaving the 5'-leader elements of precursor-tRNAs. Cellular RNase Ps are ribonucleoproteins. Lineage: Bacteria; Pseudomonadati; Pseudomonadota; Betaproteobacteria; Burkholderiales; Burkholderiaceae. The record is from RNAcentral.